UUUAAUUUGAGAGUUUGAUCCUGGCUCAGGAUGAACGCUGGCGGCGUGCCUAACACAUGCAAGUCGAACGAAGCAUUUCAGAUGAAGUUUUCGGAUGGAUUCUGAGAUGACUGAGUGGCGGACGGGUGAGUAACACGUGGAUAACCUGCCUCACACUGGGGGACAACAGUUAGAAAUGACUGCUAAUACCGCAUAAGCGCACAGUACCGCAUGGUACAGUGUGAAAAACUCCGGUGGUGUGAGAUGGAUCCGCGUCUGAUUAGCCAGUUGGCGGGGUAAUGGCCCACCAAAGCGACGAUCAGUAGCCGACCUGAGAGGGUGACCGGCCACAUUGGGACUGAGACACGGCCCAAACUCCUACGGGAGGCAGCAGUGGGGAAUAUUGCACAAUGGGCGAAAGCCUGAUGCAGCGACGCCGCGUGAGUGAAGAAGUAUUUCGGUAUGUAAAGCUCUAUCAGCAGGGAAGAUAAUGACGGUACCUGACUAAGAAGCCCCGGCUAACUACGUGCCAGCAGCCGCGGUAAUACGUAGGGGGCAAGCGUUAUCCGGAUUUACUGGGUGUAAAGGGAGCGUA
This 574-nucleotide ribosomal RNA is filed under the name Enterocloster lavalensis. Its description in RNAcentral is "bacterial SSU rRNA". It matches the Rfam family "Bacterial small subunit ribosomal RNA", at positions 1 to 573 of the family's 1533-position model. Lineage: Bacteria; Bacillati; Bacillota; Clostridia; Lachnospirales; Lachnospiraceae. The record is from RNAcentral.